CCAAAAGUUACUGUUUUUAAACGAUACAGCUUCAAAGGACUCUGGUUGUCACUUCUCCAAUAAAUUAGCUGAUAAAGCGUGUCUUGGUCUCUCAUUUGAAUUUGCCGGUACAUUUUUUCAAUGUCCGCUGUCAAGGUCCAACCAAAAGAUGUUCGUUCAAGGACGUUCCGUCAGAAGUUUUGAAGGUAGCAUCAAAAACUACUCGCAACUUCGUUGUGGUACUGGACUCCUUAAAUACAGCAUGAUGAGGCACGACAUAAUAGAAUGGUGAAUUAAGAAUUCCUUGGCUGACAUCUACUUCUUCCAUGUGAUUUAGUUGAAGGUACUCGGAAAUGCAAGCUGCAUAUUGUUUGUGUAACUCUGGAUUGUUGUUGAGUCUUCGUUCGAGUUGAAGAAAUCUUCUGAAGGCUCCUUGCUGACUGUUUCCAAGUGCAGGUCUAUCACCGUCCUUGAAUGCGUCUUCCGCAGCUUCAGGUUCAUCGAACGGUGUUUCUUCAAUUUCCCAAAAUUUGCGAAGUUGUGAAUCGAUGUCGACAAACUGCAAGUGUAUCCGAAAUGUUUCGACAGGUACCUUACCAAAGACGAUCCAUCCAAGUUGAGUGUUUUGAGCAAUUGGAGCAACUGCUUCUGUUCCCCUGACUAUCUCCGGCAGAACUAUUUCACUAAAAACAUCACUACCUAAUAGCAAGUCAACGUUAGCAGGUUUGUGAAAUGAGGGAUCGGCUAAACUCAAACCCUGAAUAUGGGCCCAUUGAUGUGGAAGAAACUCUUUAUUGGGAAGUAAACCAGUUAAAGUUUUAAAAACGAACGCCCUAGCACCUAUCUCAAAUGAGAGACUUCGACAAGGGUACGACAUUUUCUUAAAUUAAGUUGUUGUGCUGCUGCUUCGGUGAUGAAUGUUGCUUCUGAACCUGGAUCUAUCAGCGCUCUCAAAUUCACAAACUCUCCGUUCAAUGACUGAAUCUGAACUACUGCUGUGGCAAGUAGAACGAAAGAAUUCGCUUGAUUUGAGAGGUGAUAACUGCGAGUGGUGUUCGUUGAUGAAGCUUGAUCACUACCUGGAUGAAAUGCUGGAGCGUUUGGAUUGAUUUGUGUUGAUACUGGAUAGCUAUUUUGAUUUGAAACUGGUAUUGGAUUUCUACGAUGUGGUUGUGAAUUGUGCGAAUUAGACGGCUGUGAAUUGUUGAACUGUGAAUCUUGAGAAAAUGAAGGUUGAUUGUUAAAUGACUGCUGAGUAGAAUGAGAAUCGUGUAAAAGUACAUCCAAAUCUAAAAAUGAGUAACAAGAGCGAAGUGUAUGCUGACCGCGAUGACAUACUGCACAACUACGAGUAUCCUUCCUUGUAGAAUUCAAGUGAAAUACUCUUGGUUUGAAUUUAGAUGGUUCCUUACUAGUGGAAUCUAGUGACUUCAACCCUGAUUGGCAAACAACUUCUAAAGAACGAAAACGAGUUUCCAAAAAAACUGAAAAUUCAUGGAAAGAAGGUAGUUUUUGUAGCAAUGUGAAAAUCACGAAAACAUCCCAACUUUCUACUGGCACACCUAAGUUCUUCAAAGCAUGAAGCACUUCUUUCGAUUUAUCUAACAGACACUUGAUAGAAUCUGACGUUUCAACCUUAAUUAUUGGCUGCUCAAAAAAUGAUUUUAACUCACCCAAAUUUUUAUAACUCGUGAAACUCUUUUUGACUUGAGCACAAGUUUUCUUAAAUAAUUUCAUUGAGGCUGAUUCACUCAUUGUAAUAUAUGUAUGAUAAAUGAUGAAAAUUCCACACGAUGAUUUCGACAAAUUCUCCACAGUUUCUGCACAGUAAUGAUGAACGGUGAUAAUGAUGGCAACAGUUAAAACGGUGACAACGGUAAUAACGGUGACAACGGUAAUGCAGCAACAGUUAUAACGGACAACAGUUAUGAAGCAACGGCAAUCCAAUAUCACAUUUGGUGGUUAAAUUCUCCAAAAAAUAUUGAUUUUCUUUGUUACGUUUAUUGCACUUUGUAUAAUUUGAUAUAAUUACUCACAUGAAUUUAUAAAUUAAUUGUGUUGAUUAAUUGCAGGCUGAGAUGCUAACUGGGUACUUCGCUGGACAGGACACUGAUUGGGAACUCCGCUGGACAGGACACUGACUGGAUGCUCCGCAGGACAAGACAACGUAUGGGUACUUCACUGGACAGUAUGCUCGAUGACGCUCGACGUACACUCACAAUUUGUAUUUUUUAUCACAGUAUUUUGUUUUGAU
Molecule: long non-coding RNA, 2233 nt
Organism: Eupeodes corollae
Lineage: Eukaryota; Metazoa; Arthropoda; Insecta; Diptera; Syrphidae
Exons: 8
Source: RefSeq, a predicted model, not a curated record